Molecule: non-coding RNA, 104 nt
Organism: Acanthosepion pharaonis
Lineage: Eukaryota; Metazoa; Mollusca; Cephalopoda; Sepiida; Sepiidae
Source: the annotation of a GenBank genome assembly
AUAACAUUAAAACACAGGUCCCCGUAGGAUCGCCGAAGUUAAGCAACGUCGAGGCUUAUCAGUACAUUGAUGGGUGAUCGUUUUGGAAUAUCAGGUGCUGUAAG